GCCGUCUUUGUAUUUUUGUCCCGCCUUAGGUCGUGCAGAGGUCGCGACAGCUGUUGGCCCCUGCCCUCGUGUGACGAGACAUGGCUGUCUCCACGCCCUCAGUGUCCCCUCAACGUCGGCCAGUACGUCAAUAACCACACAAAAGAAUACCCUCCUAACGUGGCCUACCAGGAGUUUUCUGUACCUGUCGACUUCCCCGUUCAUCUGAGACAAUAUUUGCCAAA
Molecule: small RNA, 224 nt
Filed under: Aplysia californica (California sea hare)
Lineage: Eukaryota; Metazoa; Mollusca; Gastropoda; Aplysiida; Aplysiidae
Description: uncharacterized LOC101850628
Source: RNAcentral